GAUGAACGCUGGCGGCGUGCCUAAUACAUGCAAGUCGAGCGAACAGAUGAGGAGCUUGCUCCUCUGACGUUAGCGGCGGACGGGUGAGUAACACGUGGAUAACCUACCUAUAAGACUGGGAUAACUUCGGGAAACCGGAGCUAAUACCGGAUAAUAUAUUGAACCGCAUGGUUCAAUAGUGAAAGACGGUUUUGCUGUCACUUAUAGAUGGAUCCGCGCCGCAUUAGCUAGUUGGUAAGGUAACGGCUUACCAAGGCAACGAUGCGUAGCCGACCUGAGAGGGUGAUCGGCCACACUGGAAAUGAGACACGGUCCAGACUCCUACGGGAGGCAGCAGUAGGGAAUCUUCCGCAAUGGGCGAAAGCCUGACGGAGCAACGCCGCGUGAGUGAUGAAGGUCUUCGGAUCGUAAAACUCUGUUAUUAGGGAAGAACAAAUGUGUAAGUAACGAUGCACGUCUUGACGGUACCUAAUCAGAAAGCCACGGCUAACUACGU
RNAcentral lists this ribosomal RNA (496 nucleotides) under uncultured bacterium. RNAcentral describes it as "partial 16S ribosomal RNA". It matches the Rfam family "Bacterial small subunit ribosomal RNA", at positions 28 to 506 of the family's 1533-position model. The record is from RNAcentral.